This is a long non-coding RNA of Oreochromis niloticus (Nile tilapia), 2652 nucleotides long. The record is from Ensembl. NCBI's taxonomy places the organism in Eukaryota, Metazoa, Chordata, Actinopteri, Cichliformes, Cichlidae.
GCUUCACAGCAUAAAACCCUCCUUCAGUUAACAUGAGUCUGGCAUGACUGCUGGCAGCAGAUAGGCUGGUUUGCGAGAGUUCGGUCAGAAAGAUGGAUGAGCAGCAGUUGUUUGGAUGGACACUCUUUGCUGAUGCCAGAGUUCAGAGUCCUCCAUCCGAUCUCCACGCUCUGACUCUGACAGUACUCAUCUUCAUUUGGUUUAACGGAAGAGCUCAUGCUCACUUCUCCUACCUGCCUGCCUCCCUGCCACAGUUACUGAAUACCACGGAUCAUCACUGGCUGGAACCAUCACCGCCGCACUCGCUCCACUUACCCCUCUCAUGCCAGUCCUUCACCUGCAAUAAUGACCCGAAGGCUCCUGGUUUCGUUCCCCGGCCUGACUCCCCUUUUCCCCACGCCACAGACUUUCAUGUGUAUAUAGUUUCCUAGUACUCCACGUUUAUUGUACACUUCAUGUUUGCUACUCCUUAGAAUCUCACAUAUGUUUCAUAGCUCACGUAGCAUCAUAGUUGUAAUUCUCUGUUUGUAAAUAAAGUCUUGUAAUCACGUUUACCAGUGCCUCCGUUUGUAUCUGCAAUUGAGUCCGUUUAUCACUGUCAUAGCAAGAAAAAAUACUUUUCUUAUUUAUAUACACAAAUAUAUAAAUAAAGAAACCAGAGGUCAUCACUGGAGCAUGUGAGAGGGUAACUUAGCUUAAGCCCUGUUGGUACAACCAGCCUCUGUACAUUACCUCUGUUCUCUCACAUGGUGGUGUUUAAAUCCAUGUGUGGUGUUUCCGUAAUAAAGUGGCGAACACUCCCAGAGUCUUAAUGGGAAACCAUCACUGAAUGGAAGAUUGGAGGGCAGCCACAGAGUUCAUCAGGUUCAAACAAUAAACACACACUAGAAUUAGUAUUUGUAUGUAUGUAUGUAUAUAGUACAAAUUAGUCAUGUAUACUAUUUUAUUGAUUUCUGUAUUUUAAGCAUCUCUCUCUCUCUCUCUCUCUCUCUCUCUCUCUCUCCCUCUCUCUCUCUCAAAGACUAUUGAACAUUCUGAGAUAAAUGCAUUUCUCUCCUCUGCAAUGUGAAGGUGUUAUUGCUUCAAACAUAAAGGACCCUUUAGUGUGCUGAGCCACUGUCAAAGUGCUGCAGUCUCUGAGAGGCUAUACAACCUUUAUACUGUGUGAACAUACAUGGAGUGCGAUGCGAUCUCCUCUUAGGGGAAUGCUUGUCCUCCGAACACUUUAGAGGCAUUGUCUUUGCAGAGAUUGCAGGUUUUUGGUGCCAUGUGCAUUUCUUCAAGCAGUAAAAACAGAAACUUUGAAGUUAAGAUAAAUAAAACCAGAUACUGAUUCUAGGGUGAGAUUUACUAGUGUUUCUAUUAAAAAUGCUCAAAACGGUUUUGUUUGUGGGACUUUUUUUAGCUUUCUGUCAGUUUUUCCUGAUUACACCCUUGCUUCUAUGGAAGUGCUGCUGCAUGACAAGCAGAAUAACAACAAUCCCUACAGAAAUGACAUACAGACCAUGCAGAUAAUCAAAAAGCAGAAACUGAUGGGAAUAACAAAAAAAUACAUCUUAUCAUACACAGUAUGAGACAAGAGGACAAUUAAGAUGCUUCAAGGAAAGGAUUUGAGAAUAUAUCGUGUGCACUCUUGUGUGUACUGCCAUGUAUUUCACAGAAACAUGUUGACAACACUAUCAUGAAACAACAAAACUAAAAACAAAAGGAGACAAGUGGCCAUUAGAGAAAUUCCACUUUGGCAUUUCUGCGUUUUCUUUUUCAGUUGGUUUUUGCAUCACCAAGCUUAAUUCUGGAGUGCUGAAUGCAUUAAAAAAAAAAAGUGCUACAGGUAGGCUGCAGGGUAUACCAAAGAGAGACAAUGAGGAGACGAUGAAACUCCAAAAGAAUGGAACAAGAGACAUAGCCAGGAACUCAAACAGAGAACACAGGAAGGUGAACAGAAGGUCUGACAAAAACAAAAAGCAAAGGAGAGACACAGGUGUCUUUAGGGCACGGCAGAACAAACCACCGGUUGCUAAGUGGUUGCCAGGUGGUGGUGAGUGGUUGCUGAUAUCACUAGGUGAAGAUGAUUGCAAAGAAGAUGCAGCACCAACAACCUCCUUGUGAUGACUUUGAUUUCCAACAGAUUGCAUUAAAGAUACAGACUCGUCUUUAAUAAGCACUCAGCAAAAAAGCCAAAUGAUAAUGAAACUUGGAGAAAUAGAUUGCUGAAAAUAUGCAGGCCCUGAGUCCAGUCGCUGAAACCUGUUAACCACCAGCCUUUUGUAACAUGUUGGUUGCAGCAGUAAGUCACAACUUUUACUUUAAAGUCUUAAUUUCUGGUUUAUGGUGCUCUCUUUACAGUUAACAAGAAGUUGAUAAGAGUUUGCAGACAAGUUGGAGUCUUCCUCACAAACAAAGGGCAACCAUAAUAUUCUGAUAGCAACCGAUUUUGUGACCGACUUCCUCUAGCGACUAGCGGUUAGCAGGAGUUCAGUGACUGGUGUCUAGACCUGGGCUUCAGCAUUUGAUCUAACAGUGACUGCCAGGAACCUCCAGCGCCCACUCAUAACUGUUUGGAGAUUACUCAUUUUUCCCCCGUGACUGGUGUUUGUCAGGGUGUCACUGACGGAUCUCUAUGUCUCUGUGACUGGGCCUUAAGAGAAAAAC